Molecule: long non-coding RNA, 1057 nt
Organism: Saccostrea cuccullata (small rock oyster)
Lineage: Eukaryota; Metazoa; Mollusca; Bivalvia; Ostreida; Ostreidae
Exons: 4
Source: RefSeq, a predicted model, not a curated record
AAGAUGGAUAGAAAAGAAUGCAAGAAGAAGGAUGCAAUGAAGAAUCACUGAGCAGUCCUCUUGUUGUUCUAACUGAGGAGAAGUGGCAGAAUGAGGGCAAAUGAUAGUGUAUAACAGCUUCCAGCAGGUGUCCCCCCUUAAGAUCCCAGAGAGAAGGACAUCCUGUCCGUGUCAUCAGUUAACAUAUAGACUCAAAUUCUCCUAGACUUUCACCACGUAUUUAAUGUCCCAUCAUCAGCCGCCAAAUCCUGACCACCGAUCCAAAGAGAAAAAGAAUCAACAGAAACGGGGACCCAGAAACUUGACAUCAUUGGCGUUACUGACAGCAACAUGAUUUAGAAAGACCUUUACCCAGAAUUCUCUGUGUGUAAGGAUAAAAGAGAUUGAUUGUGCAAUACAGUUUUUACUGAGCGUGAUGCAGGACAAGCAGAAGAAAUACAAGAAACACGUGGACCAGUUUCAGCGGAUCUCGGAGACGCUCUCCAUUCUUAACUCAUUUAGUUUUCAAACGAAGUUUACCAUUUCUAUUUAAAGUUGUACAAUUGUGAUGAGGAAAGAAAAAUAUGUUCUUUUAAAUCUCUUACACCUAAAUAUAUAAGACAUAUAAGCAAAUAUAUUUUGAAUGUUUCAUUCAGUCAGAAAGUUCAAAGUUAUUCUUGAACUUUUAUGAUAUCUAAUUUUAAGCUUCCUUUGGAAUAUUUAUAUUUGAGAAAUUGGAUAAUGAUUAAGUGUAACAAUCUGUCAGAGUAAUUAAUAUUUAGGAAAUUAACUUUUUAGCUCACCUGAGCCGAAGGCUCAAGUGAGCUUUUCUGAUCACAUUUUGUCCGUCGUCCGUCCGUCUGACCGUCUGUCUGUCCGUCCGUCUGUAAACUUUUCACAUUUUUGACUUCUUCUCAAAAACCAUUGGGCCAAUUUUGACCAAACUUGGUACAAAGCAUCCUUGGGUGAAGGGGAAUUUAAAUUGUUAAAAUGAAGGGCCAAUUCCCCUCACAAGGGGAGAUAAUCAAGAAAAGACAAAAAUAGGGUGGGGUCAUUAAAAAAUCUUCUCAAGAACCAA